Molecule: ribosomal RNA, 771 nt
Filed under: uncultured bacterium
Lineage: Bacteria
Description: bacterial SSU rRNA
Rfam family: Bacterial small subunit ribosomal RNA
Source: RNAcentral
AGAGUUUGAUCAUGGCUCAGGACGAACGCUGGCGGCGUGCUUAACACAUGCAAGUCGAACGGAAAGGCCCUUCGGGGUGCUCGAGUGGCGAACGGGUGAGUAACACGUGGGUGAUCUGCCCUGCACUUUGGGAUAAGCCUGGGAAACUGGGUCUAAUACCGAAUAUGACCAUGCACUUCCUGGUGUGUGGUGGAAAGCUUUUGCGGUGUGGGAUGGGCCCGCGGCCUAUCAGCUUGUUGGUGGGGUAAUGGCCUACCAAGGCGACGACGGGUAGCCGGCCUGAGAGGGCGACCGGCCACACUGGGACUGAGAUACGGCCCAGACUCCUACGGGAGGCAGCAGUGGGGAAUAUUGCGCAAUGGGCGCAAGCCUGAUGCAGCGACGCCGCGUGAGGGAUGACGGCCUUCGGGUUGUAAACCUCUUUCAGCACAGACGAAGCGCGAGUGACGGUAUGUGCAGAAGAAGGACCGGCCAACUACGUGCCAGCAGCCGCGGUAAUACGUAGGGUCCGAGCGUUGUCCGGAAUUACUGGGCGUAAAGAGCUCGUAGGUGGUUUGUCGCGUUGUUCGUGAAAACUCACAGCUUAACUGUGGGCGUGCGGGCGAUACGGGCAGACUGGAGUACUGCAGGGGAGACUGGAAUUCCUGGUGUAGCGGUGGAAUGCGCAGAUAUCAGGAGGAACACCGGUGGCGAAGGCGGGUCUCUGGGCAGUAACUGACGCUGAGGAGCGAAAGCGUGGGGAGCGAACAGGAUUAGAUACCCUGGUAGUCC